RNA transcript from Impatiens glandulifera, 3319 nucleotides. It is a transcript of the gene named pentatricopeptide repeat-containing protein At3g54980, mitochondrial, with no coding region annotated. The record is from RefSeq and is a predicted model, not a curated record. The transcript is spliced from 4 exons. NCBI's taxonomy places the organism in Eukaryota, Viridiplantae, Streptophyta, Magnoliopsida, Ericales, Balsaminaceae.
UGGGCUUUUACAGUAAGGGCCCUAGAAUUAUUCUAGCACCGCCUAAACAAGAUUGAAUUGUUGCUAGAUCAAUCAAUGCACCGCCGUCCGCCGCCGUCUGAUGAUCUUGUCGGGUCCCCUUCAAGGAUGAUGUUUUUUUAAGUGAUGUGAGACAUCUCCGGCAUCUGAAUCCCUCAACGGAGGUUACUGGAUGAUACCCAUUACAAUGUCGGAGACAUUUUGAAUGAUUCAUACAAUACCAAAAUAUGAGAACUUGUUUGACUUCCUCCUCUUCCUCUGCCUCUUUGCGAUUGAUUACUUCACAAUCCCAUCAUUUUCUCUCUUCAAUUACCUCAUGGAGAUCAUUCUUUAGUGAUUCUUCUUUCUCCAAUUCGACAGAAUCUUCCCUCACGGAUGCUGGACAGAUUGGUUCUUCAUUAGCUUCCAAUGAUGUAUCCAGUUCAGAAUUUUGUACAUCUGUUUCAGAAAACAAAGUUGUUACAUCCGUGGAAGUCAUAAGGAUUCUGUUAAGCCAUCGGCAAAACCCCAAUUCUGCUUUAGAUUACUUCAACUUGGCUAAGAAACAUUGCGGUUUUCUAACUGCCACCAUUGAUCCUUUUAGUGUUUUGCUUCAUAUUUUAGUGAGUUCCUUGAAUUAUCAUAAGAUAUGUAAGAAAUUAUUGAACCAAUUAGUUUCAGAGGAUUCUAGUCCCUCUGCUUGUGUCUUUCUUGAUAGUUUGGUUGAAUGUUCAAGAAAGUAUGGAUUUGAUUUCAGCACUCCAAUUUUUAGUUAUAUGUUGAAUAGUUACAUCAGGGCUGCUCGAUUAAGAGAAUGUAUCAACUGUGUUUAUAGAAUGAAUGAACUGGAUAUAGGCUUGUCCAUAAGGUGUAUAAAUAUUCUAUUUACUGCAUUAGUUAGGAAGAAGAUGACCAGCGAGGCAUUGUCAUUGUUUGAUGAAUUGGUUUCUAGAAACGAGAAUGAGUACAAUAGUGCCACCGUGGAUGUGAUUAUGCGCGCAUGUUUACAAGAGAAGAACUUUGAUUUGGCAAAUAGAUAUUUUCAGGAAGCCAAGUCUCGUGGCCUUGAGCUUGAUGCGAUCACGUACAGCACAGCUGUUCAAUCUGCUUGUGGAAAACCAGAUCUUGAUCUCGCGUGUUUGUUAGUAAAUGAGAUGAAGAAAAAAGGUUGGUCUCCAUCUGAGCGGAUAUAUACAUUUCUAAUUUCGACUCUCGUGAGACAUGGGAACAUGAAAAGUGCUUUAACGCUCAAGGAGGAAAUGAUCGACAGUGGAAAAUCGAUGAACUUAGUACUUGCGACGAGUUUGAUGAAGGGUUACUACAAGCAGGGGCAAUUGAGCAAGUCUUUAGAAUUGUUUGACAAGAUUGUUGAAAGUGGACUAAAUCCAAACAAGAUAACUUACUCUGUGAUCAUCGAGGGAUGUUAUCGGAAUGGAAAAAUGGAAAAAGCAUGUGACUUUUAUAACCAAAUGAAAGCGGCAGGCAUUCAACCAAGCGUUUUCAAUGUGAAUUCACUAAUACACGGUUUCUUGAGAGAAAGGAAAUCCGAAGAGGCAUUCAAAUGGUUUGAUGAGGCAGUUGACUCUGGCAUUGCUAAUGUGUUCACAUAUAACCACAUGUUAUCCUGGUUAUGUAAAGAGGGGAAGGUGAAUAAAGCAGGCAGUCUAUGGGAUAAGAUGAUUGCAAGAGGAGUUGAACCGAGUGUGGUUUCAUAUAAUAACUUGAUUCUUGGCCAUUCUCGGAAAGGGAACAUGAAGGUAGCAUCGUCUUUAUUAGAUCAGAUGCUGGAAAAUGGUUUGAAGGCCAAUGUAGUCACAUACUGUAUCUUGAUUGAUGGUUAUUUCAGAAAAGGUGGGGCUGAAGAAGCACUUGACGUUUAUAGUCACAUGCUUGGUUUGGGAAUUGCCCCGACUGCCUACACAUUCAAUACGCUAAUCAAUGGUCUAUGCAAAUCUGGCUGCACUUCAAAAGCAAGAGCUAUGCUUAAAGAUCUUGGUGAGGAUGUAUUUAUUCGAUUUAUCCCCUCCUGCAUGUCUUACAAUUGCAUUAUCGAUGGCUUUAUCAAGGAGGGAACGAUGGACUCUGCGUUAGCUGUCUACAGCGAGAUGUGUGAAAAUGGAGUUUCUCCAAGUGUUGUAACAUACACCACUCUUAUUGAUGGGUUUUGCAAAAGCAAUAAUAUUGAUCUUGCUUUAAAGAUUCGUAACGAGAUGAGAAGCAAGGGUAUUGAAUUGGAUGUAACCGCAUAUAGUGCUCUUAUAGAUGGUUUUUGUAAAAAGAGGGAUAUGGGUCGUGCAUGUGAACUCUUCCAAGAGCUUCUUCAAGUAGGGUUAUAUCCAAAUAAAGUUGUCUACAAUAGCUUGAUUAGUGGAUUCAAAAAUGUAAACAAUACGAAAGAAGCACUUGUCUUUCAAAGAAGAAUGAUUGCCGAGGGUAUUCCAUGUGAUUUGGGAACUUAUACUACAUUAGUAGAUGGUUAUCUAAAACAGGGAGAAAUAAUCUUUGCAUCUGAACUUUAUAGUGAGAUGCUUGCCAAGGGAAUAGUACCCGAUAUCAUAAUGUAUACUGUUCUUAUAAACGGUUUGUGUAACACACGACAAUUAGAGAAUGCCCAUAAUGUUUUUGAGGACAUGAAGAAGAACAAAAUGGUUCCAGAUGUCCUAAUCUACAACACAUUGAUUGCUGGGUACUUCAAGGAAGGGAAUCUGCAGGAAGCCUUUAAAUUGCAUGAUGAGAUGCUUAACAAUGGCCUGAAACCUGAUGACACAACUUAUGACAUUCUUAUAAGUGGGAAGUUCAAAGGGGAUAACAGCAACGAUGGAGAUCCGUCCGUCUAAAUACAAGAGGAAACUUGUUUAGAGAUUCUUACAUGCAGUGAAGCUCAUAUAUGUGCAUAAACUGAUGAAAGGACUAUAUAUGGUGUCAGUCGAAUCCUUUUCUUGUUCAUACAACUGACUAGGUAUGAUGACUGGUGUGGUUGAGCCCAAAUUGUUCAAAUGCUUGCUUAGGAUUUUAUUGAAUGCUUCCUAGAUUGAGAAUUUUCAGGUGUGAACAUUUCUGCAUACGUGCUCUACUAUUUCUAGUUCGCCGUAACACUUAAUUGCCCACUAUUUGAAGAUGAGGAAUGAAACUAUAAACUCCUCAAUCUUCUCUGGCUGCAGGUAAGAAAAAUAACCUGUUGUUCCCUUCUACCAUAGUUAAUCAGUGCUUUAAGAUGUAAAUAGCGUUUCAGCUAUAUCUGAAGCAAUCUUUAAUUAACCUAUACAAUUAAAUUGAUUUGUAAAGAUUAUGUUUUGUUAAAUUAUAAUUGUAUUUUCCUACA